Molecule: transfer RNA, 75 nt
Filed under: Fibrella sp.
Lineage: Bacteria; Pseudomonadati; Bacteroidota; Cytophagia; Cytophagales; Spirosomataceae
Description: tRNA-Arg
Rfam family: tRNA
About the family: Transfer RNA (tRNA) molecules are approximately 80 nucleotides in length. Their secondary structure includes four short double-helical elements and three loops (D, anti-codon, and T loops).
Source: RNAcentral
GGCUUUGUAGUUCAACGGAUAGAAUAGACGUUUCCUAAACGUUAGAUCCGGGUUCGAUUCCCGGCGAAGCCACCA